CCUACGGGAGGCAGCAGUGGGGAAUAUUGGACAAUGGGCGAAAGCCUGAUCCAGCCAUGCCGCGUGUGUGAAGAAGGCCUUCGGGUUGUAAAGCACUUUCAGUGGGGAAGAAAGCCUUGGGGCUAAUACCCUCGAGGAAGGACAUCACCCACAGAAGAAGCACCGGCUAACUCCGUGCCAGCAGCCGCGGUAAUACGGAGGGUGCGAGCGUUAAUCGGAAUUACUGGGCGUAAAGCGCGCGUAGGCGGUCUGAUAAGCCGGUUGUGAAAGCCCCGGGCUCAACCUGGGAACGGCAUCCGGAACUGUCCGGCUAGAGUGCAGGAGAGGAAGGUAGAAUUCCCGGUGUAGCGGUGAAAUGCGUAGAGAUCGGGAGGAAUACCAGUGGCGAAGGCGGCCUUCUGGACUGACACUGACGCUGAGGUGCGAAAGCGUGGGUAGCAAACAGGAUUAGAUACCCGAGUAGUC
This 465-nucleotide ribosomal RNA is filed under the name Vreelandella stevensii. RNAcentral's name for it is "partial 16S ribosomal RNA". It matches the Rfam family "Bacterial small subunit ribosomal RNA", at positions 338 to 795 of the family's 1533-position model. The record is from RNAcentral. Lineage: Bacteria; Pseudomonadati; Pseudomonadota; Gammaproteobacteria; Oceanospirillales; Halomonadaceae.